Molecule: small RNA, 18 nt
Filed under: Arabidopsis thaliana (thale cress)
Lineage: Eukaryota; Viridiplantae; Streptophyta; Magnoliopsida; Brassicales; Brassicaceae
Description: ATSL232150
Source: RNAcentral
AGGUUCUUUGUGAUUCAU